CAAAGACAUGCCCAAAUCAGCUACAUGGGGUUGUCAGACGUUACAUCAUAACACAUUCUAUAAUUCUAGUAUCUCAGUACGUCAACAUCAAAGCGCCGCUCAUCUAAACCAUGAUCUAUUCUAAA
Long non-coding RNA from Sphaeramia orbicularis (orbiculate cardinalfish), 125 nucleotides. RefSeq lists it as uncharacterized. NCBI's taxonomy places the organism in Eukaryota, Metazoa, Chordata, Actinopteri, Kurtiformes, Apogonidae. The record is from RefSeq and is a predicted model, not a curated record. The transcript has 3 exons.